CAGUAGCCGCGGGAACACGGAGGGUGCAAGCGUUACUCGGAAUCACUGGGCGUAAAGGACGCGUAGGCGGAUUAUCAAGUCUCUUGUGAAAUCUAACGGCUUAACCGUUAAACUGCUUGGGAAACUGAUAAUCUAGAGUAAGGGAGAGGCAGAUGGAAUUCUUGGUGUAGGGGUAAAAUCCGUAGAUAUCAAGAAGAAUACCUAUUGCGAAGGCGAUCUGCUGGAACUUAACUGACGCUAAUGCGUGAAAGCGUGGGGAGCAAAUGGGAUUAGAUACCCCAGUAGUCCCUGUCUCUUAUAC
This 301-nucleotide ribosomal RNA is filed under the name uncultured bacterium. Its description in RNAcentral is "partial 16S ribosomal RNA". It matches the Rfam family "Bacterial small subunit ribosomal RNA", at positions 509 to 807 of the family's 1533-position model. The record is from RNAcentral.